GAUGAAGAACGUAGCAAAAUGCGAUACUUGGUGUGAAUUGCAGAAUCCCGUGAACCAUCGAGUUUUUGAACGCAAGUUGCGCCCGAAACCAUCCGGUUGAGGGCACGCCUGCCUGGGUGUCACGCAUCGCGUCGUCCCCCAACAUACUCUCCCUUUCUGGGUUGUCAUGUUGAUUGGGGACGGAGACUGGCCUCCCGUGCUUCUGGUGCGGUUGGCCUAAAUAGGAGGCCCCUUCGGUGGAUACACGGCUAGUGGUGGUUGUUAAGACCCUCGUAUUGUGCUGUGUGUUGUGAGCUGUUAGGGAAACCCUCACCAAAGACCCUAUUGUAUCGUCUUGGUACGAUGCUUCGACCGCGACCCCAGGUCAGGCGGGACUACCCGCUGGGUUUAAGCAUAUCAAUAAGCGGAGGA
RNAcentral lists this unclassified non-coding RNA (411 nucleotides) under soil metagenome. Its description in RNAcentral is "partial contains 5.8S ribosomal RNA, internal transcribed spacer 2, and large subunit ribosomal RNA". The stretch from base 1 to 122 matches the Rfam family "5.8S ribosomal RNA", at positions 35 to 154 of the family's 154-position model. The record is from RNAcentral.